This 71-nucleotide transfer RNA is filed under the name Loxodonta africana (African savanna elephant). It matches the Rfam family "tRNA". From Rfam's summary of the family: Transfer RNA (tRNA) molecules are approximately 80 nucleotides in length. Their secondary structure includes four short double-helical elements and three loops (D, anti-codon, and T loops). The record is from Rfam by way of RNAcentral. Lineage: Eukaryota; Metazoa; Chordata; Mammalia; Proboscidea; Elephantidae.
GCAGUGGUGGUUCAGUAGUAGAAUUUUUGCCUUUCAUGCAGGAUACCUGGGUUCAAGUCAUGGCCAAAUCA